AAUGCCUACGGGGGGCAGCAGUGGGGAAUAUUGCACAAUGGGGGGAACCCUGAUGCAGCGACGCCGCGUGGGUGAAGGAGUAUUUCGGUAUGUAAAGCCCUAUCAGCAGGGAAGAACAAUGACGGUACCUGACUAAGAAGCCCCGGCUAACUACGUGCCAGCAGCCGCGGUAAUACGUAGGGGGCGAGCGUUAUCCGGAUUCACUGGGUGUAGAGGGAGCGUAGACGGCCAUGCAAGCCAGGGGUGAAAGCCCGGGGCCCAACCCCGGGACUGCCCUUGGAACUGCAUGGCUGGAGUGCGGGAGG
Molecule: ribosomal RNA, 305 nt
Filed under: uncultured bacterium
Lineage: Bacteria
Description: bacterial SSU rRNA
Rfam family: Bacterial small subunit ribosomal RNA
Source: RNAcentral